ACUACGGGUGGCAGCAGUGGGGGAUAUUGCACAAUGGGGGGAACCCUGAUGCAGCGACGCCGCGUGGGUGAAGGAGUGCUUCGGCAUGUAAAGCCCUAUCGGCAGGGAAGAAGCAAGACGGUACCUGACUAAGAAGCCCCGGCUAACUACGUGCCAGCAGCCGCGGUAAUACGUAGGGGGCAAGCGUUAUCCGGAUUUACUGGGUGUAAAGGGAGCGUAGACGGCAGUGCAAGUCCGGAGUGAAAGCCCGGGGCUCAACCCUGGGACUGCUCUGGAAACUGCAAAGCUGGAGUGCGGGAGGGGCAGGCGGAACUCCUGGUGUAGCGGUGAAAUGCGUAGAUAUCAGGAGGAACACCGGCGGCGAAGGCGGCCUGCUGGACCGUAACUGACGUUGAGGCUCGAAAGCGUGGGGAGCAAACAGGAUUAGAUACCCGAGUAGUC
This 441-nucleotide ribosomal RNA is filed under the name uncultured bacterium. RNAcentral describes it as "partial 16S ribosomal RNA". It matches the Rfam family "Bacterial small subunit ribosomal RNA", at positions 338 to 795 of the family's 1533-position model. The record is from RNAcentral.